This 273-nucleotide ribosomal RNA is filed under the name Leuconostoc mesenteroides. RNAcentral's name for it is "partial 16S ribosomal RNA". It matches the Rfam family "Bacterial small subunit ribosomal RNA", at positions 233 to 498 of the family's 1533-position model. The record is from RNAcentral. Lineage: Bacteria; Bacillati; Bacillota; Bacilli; Lactobacillales; Lactobacillaceae.
GUGGUGCAUUAAUAAAUUGGUGGGGUAAAGGCCUACCAAGACAAUGAUGCAUAGCCGAGUUGAGAGACUGAUCGGCCACAUUGGGACUGAGACACGGCCCACACUCCUACGGGAGGCUGCAGUAGGGAAUCUUCCACAAUGGGCGAAAGCCUGAUGGAGCAACGCCGCGUGUGUGAUGAAGGCUUUCGGGUCGUAAAGCACUGUUGUAUGGGAAGAACAGCUAGAAUAGGAAAUGAUUUUAGUUUGACGGCACCAUACCAGAAAGGGACGGCU